Molecule: microRNA precursor, 93 nt
Filed under: Carlito syrichta (Philippine tarsier)
Lineage: Eukaryota; Metazoa; Chordata; Mammalia; Primates; Tarsiidae
Description: miRNA (ENSTSYG00000033802.1)
Source: RNAcentral
GGAGGAUUGCUUGAGUCCAGGAGUUGGAGGCUGCAGUGAGCUAUGAUUGUGCUACUGCACUCCAGCCUGAGUGACAGAGCAAGACCCUCUCUC